Salvia miltiorrhiza (redroot sage) is the source of this 1411-nucleotide long non-coding RNA. RefSeq lists it as uncharacterized. The record is from RefSeq and is a predicted model, not a curated record. The transcript is spliced from 2 exons. NCBI's taxonomy places the organism in Eukaryota, Viridiplantae, Streptophyta, Magnoliopsida, Lamiales, Lamiaceae.
CUCUCUCUCUCUCUCUCUCUCACAGAGACGAUUAAGGCGGCGGAUCGACUGGAGCACGGCGGUGGCGGCUGAGGCCGGCAAUGGCGACAUCGGCGUUGCCGCCGCGCGUUCCUCUCCUCAUCUCCAAUCUCGGCGUCUCUCUCUCCUUCUUCCUCUGUCUUCAUCUCACCCUAUGUUAUCUUAUCUCUCAAAUCCCCAAUUUCUAAAACCCUAAAUUAUCUUCCAUCUCAAAUCCAGCGAAUCGUGUGAAGGAGGAGUUUGGGCGAAUCGUGGUGGGAGGAAUCGCCGAGGAAUCAUGUGAAUUUGAAUUUUUCCGAGGCCGAUUUCUCAUUGCGCAAGAUUAUCUCUUUCCAUUAUCAUACACGUGGCAGCUCGAAGCUCCUCCAGAUUCAGUUCAUGUGGUAGUGGGAACUCGAGAUAUCACUUAGUGUGGAGGAUUGUGAGGCGUUGUUGAGGGAGAAUCCGAAAAAUGAGGAGAUCGUGAGGAAGAUGAAGGAGGCGGAGGUGCAGUUGAGGAAGGGCGGCACCACCUAGGAUUGGAACGAUGUUGGCGGGGAUGCUGCUGGCUUGCUUGUGGUGGCCAGUAAUGAGCAUUUUAGGGACUUUGUGGCUUCUUUUGGUCAUUCUUCUCAACUAUAUUACCAUACCUCUCUGCAUUUGUUUCAUUUCAUAAUUUUUUUGGUUUUUUGGUUUAUAUUUAGGUAUUUGUGUUGUUCUAUUCUCUACCAAGUCAGUGGACUUUGUCGAGAUGCAGUACUUCAUUAUUAUUAUGCAGUACUUCAAUUACAUGGGGAUGCUGGCCGUGGAGGGCUCUUACGAUAAGAUGGAGGCCCUUCUGCAACAGAACAUUCACCCCGUCGACAUCUUGCUGCUCAUGGCCGCCUCCGAAGCCGACAUCCCCAAAAUCGAGGAGCUCAUGAGAGCUGGAGCUGAUCUAUUUGUUUGUCAUAAAGCAUGGUUUGGAGUUUCAUGUAUUUGUUUCCAAUGCUUGAUUAAUAUGUAUGCCAAACUUCGUGAGUUAAAAUAUGUCCCAAAUGUCUUUGACCACAUGUAUGUUAGAGAUAUAGUGUUGUGGAACUUCGUAAUUGUGGCAUAUGAGCAAAAUAAUCACCCAGAUGUUGCAAUCAAGCUCUUCCAUCAGAUGUAGAUGAAUAAGGUUCAACCAGAAUUGCUGACUCUAGUCAGCUUGUCUUCAUGCUUUGCUCAAAUGAAGGAUCCUUUAUGCGUCAAAUCUGUUCAUGGAUUCAUCACAAGGAAGUGUUGGAUUACAAAAGAUAUUGUGAUUGGAAAUGGAGUUAUUGAUAUGUAUGCCAAAUUAGGCAUUAUUGAUUCUCAGCAAAGCUGUUGAGGCAGACAAUGGUUGUAUACUCGUAUUCAAUAUAUAGUUAUAUUUUACUAUUAGUUGAUGUUA